UACGUAGGUGGCAAGCGUUGUCCGGAUUUACUGGGCGUAAAGAGCGCGCAGGCGGUCGUUCAAGUCGCGUGUGAAAGCCCCCGGCUCAACUGGGGAGGGUCACGCGAUACUGAUCGACUCGAAGGCAGGAGAGGGUAGUGGAAUUCCCGGUGUAGUGGUGAAAUGCGAAGAUAUCGGGAGGAACACCAGUGGCGAAGGCGACUACCUGGCCUGUUCUUGACGCUGAGGCGCGAAAGCUAGGGGAGCAAACGGG
RNAcentral lists this ribosomal RNA (253 nucleotides) under uncultured bacterium. RNAcentral describes it as "partial 16S ribosomal RNA". It matches the Rfam family "Bacterial small subunit ribosomal RNA", at positions 524 to 776 of the family's 1533-position model. The record is from RNAcentral.